UAGGGAAUCUUCCGCAAUGGGCGAAAGCUUGCCGGAGCAACGCCGCGUGAGUGAUGAAGGUCUUCGGAUCGUAAAACUCUGUUAUUAGGGAAGAACAAAUGUGUAAGUAACUAUGCACGUCUUGACGGUACCUAAUCAGAAAGCCACGGCUAACUACGUGCCAGCAGCCGCGGUAAUACGUAGGUGGCAAGCGUUAUCCGGAAUUAUUGGGCGUAAAGCGCGCGUAGGCGGUUUUUUAAGUCUGAUGUGAAAGCCCACGGCUCAACCGUGGAGGGUCAUUGGGAACGGGAAAACUGGAGGGGAGAAGAGGAAAGUGGAAUUCCAUGUGUAGCGGUGAAAUGCGCAGAGAUAUGGGUAAACACCAGUGGCGGAGGCGACUUUCUGGUCUGUAACUGACGCUGAUGUGCGAAAGCAUGGGGAUCAAACAGG
RNAcentral lists this ribosomal RNA (429 nucleotides) under Actinomycetes bacterium. RNAcentral describes it as "Actinobacteria bacterium partial 16S ribosomal RNA". It matches the Rfam family "Bacterial small subunit ribosomal RNA", at positions 355 to 776 of the family's 1533-position model. Lineage: Bacteria; Bacillati; Actinomycetota; Actinomycetes. The record is from RNAcentral.